RNAcentral lists this ribosomal RNA (774 nucleotides) under Triticum aestivum (bread wheat). RNAcentral's name for it is "partial small subunit ribosomal RNA". Lineage: Eukaryota; Viridiplantae; Streptophyta; Magnoliopsida; Poales; Poaceae. The record is from RNAcentral.
AUGGAAGGCCUCCUACACUGUGAUUUCUCACCCGGCCUUGCGGUCGCGGCUCAGGUGCGUCGCCGUUUUGGAUCUUCUAUUCACUUCUCACCCUCUGGAUCGACCAAGGAAUUUUUCUUGGUCGUAUACUUCUCGUCGGCAUCCUUUGCUCUUACUGAAGAAUCAGUGGCUAUUUCUCUACAAUGCUACAUCGGGGGUCUCCCUUCUGGUCUAAAUGUGCAACAUCUGGAAGGUAGAUCUUUUCGGUUUUCCGUGGCUUCAAAUCGUGUGGGACAUUUCAUCUAUGGCCUCAAGGAUCGAGUUUGGCCAGACUUUGUUUGUCAUUUUCAACUAUAUCGCCAUGGUUCCAUACGAUCAAGGCAUUUGGACAACUACUGGCAUUCGGACACUCAUAGUCCUGAGGUUGCUUCUCGCUCUCCGAUUGCGAUCAAAACAAAACUCACAUUCCUGGCAGCUGGUCACUCUAAUGAUCCUAGUGCUCAUGUGGAACGUCAAAAAUUUUGUCUUGCUCUGCCGUCGAAAAUGGUCACUACGCCGGAAUUAACAUCUACAAAUUCAUUGCCAGCAAAGGACUUUUCUGCAAUUGUGGCUAAUUCAAAUUCUCUUGGUAAGUCGCCAUCCACGGAGCAAGAUUCCUCAUUAUUAAUGACAGAUAUUACUUUUGGUAGCCUCCCAUCAAUUCAUUAUGAUAGAGUUAUGGCACAUAAUGCAAAAUUUGAAGGCUGUCGGUUUAGGAGGGAAGCUUGGCAAUCUAUCCCAAAUUUCAUUUUGUAG